GCUGAUGGGAUUAAGGUUGCUGAUCAGCUGGCCCUGAGCUUGGGAGAGGAUCCAGGUGGGCCUGAUGUAAUCAAAGGGCCCCUAGAAGGGAGGGAGAGAUGCAGGAGAGACUGUCCGAGUGGGAAGAAGGGUGCCAGGAGCCAGGAAAUUCAGAUAUUUACAAUAAAGAGGACACAAGAUUGUAGCUACGUGAUCCAAAAUUACUGUAACAGCUGCAUACACUGAGAGGUUUGAAGAAAAAAAUGCUCUUCGGUGUAGCUUUGAUCUGAAUUCUACCUUGGAUAAAUGAGGUCAUGUAUUUCUAUGUGCUGACAAAAAAGAAACUUUUCUUAGUUUCAAGUGAUAAAGUUUUUUGUGGUUGGAUCCAUAUGGAAUAACAUGGUAACAUAUCAGAGGAACUCCAAACACAGUGCAAAGGGCCAUCGCUAGAAAACAGGACGUCAUUGCAGAGGAUCAUCCAUGGAAAGCAGUGGGAGAUUACACUGGAUACGCACCAAUCUUAAGAAAUACACUGACAUUAUACUCUCACGUUUUUAUGUUUUUCCCUCAAAAGCAAAGUGCACAAAAAAAUCUAUUUUCACAGGCAAUGUUGAAUAAUUUAUCAUGGCAUCAUACUCUGAUAAAAUGUCUGGCAUGACACUGACUCCAACACAUCUGCUAUCAUUGCUCUGCACUUACAAAGUGAUAUCCAAUCUGCAUCCUCACGAAUGAGUUACCUCAUGGCAUUUCCAACCUCUGAGAUAGACUGCAGUGAUUGUGCACACUUCACACCUGAACUUUGGAUUAAUCAUAGUUUUUGGUGACAUGUUACAAAAAGGGAUGCCUCCCAGGUCCUUGAGAAGGAAGUUCCUAGGUUGUAAAACUGCCAAGAGGCUGGAAGAAGAUUUACAUCUCAAAGGGACAGAGAAAAAAACGUACAAUGGUAUCUAAAUUGAAAAAGAAGUAAAACUGUCAUAAGAUAACAUGAUCAUCUAUGUUGAAAAUUCAAUGGAAUCUACAAAAAAUACUGUAAGAACUAACAAGUGUGUUUAGUGAGGCUGCAGGAUAUAAAAUCAACAUACAAAAAUAAAUCAUAUUAAAAUGCAACAGCAACAGACAAUUGGAAAUCAAAAUUAAACAAUCAGCACCGUUUAUGAUAGCCUUAAAGAAUCUCAAAUACUUAGGACUAAAUCUGAUGAAGUAUGUAUAUGACCCGAACACUGAAAACCACAAAACAUUGUUGAAGAAGACCUAAAUAAAGAGAAAGUUAUACUGUCUGCAUUGAUUAGAAACCUGAAUAGGGCAAGCCCCGGUGGCCUAGUGGUUAAGUUCGGCACGCUCCGCUUCUGCAGCCCAGGUCCAGUUCCUGGGUGUGGACCUACACCGCUCAUCUCUUAGUGGUCACGCUGUGGUGGCAGCUCACCUACAAAAAGAGGAAGCCUGGCAGUAGAUGUUAGCUCACUGUGAAUCUUCCUCAACAAAAGAAAAGAAAAAGAAAAAGAAAACCAAAUAGAAGAAAGGUGUUAAUUCUCUCCAGAUUUGGUAUAUAGAUUCAGUGUAAUUCCAACCAAAAUCCCAGGAGGAUUUCUUGUAGAACUUGAAAAGCUAAUUUUAAAAUUCAUAACAAAAUUCAAAGGACCUAGAAUAGCUAAUACAAUUUUUGAAUGUAAGAAUGAUACAAUACUAACGUUAUCAGAUUUCAAUCAGUAUUUCUUUUUUCUAUUCUCCUUUUCUCUCUUCUGUUUUUGUAUAUAUUUUAUACAUCUUGAAGUUGUCCAUCAGCUCAAUAAUCCCCUGAUCAAUUUUUUUUCUUUUUUAUGUAUACGUUUCAUUUUAGAUUAAGUCUACUGUUAUGUCUUCAGCUUUAUUACAUUUUCUUCUGUGAUGUCUAAUCUGCAGAUAAUUCCAUCUGGUGUAUUUUUCAUCUCAGGCAUUGUAGUUUUCAUCUCUAGAAGUUCUAUUUGAGUCUAUUUUCUAACUUCCAUGUCUAUACUUGUUCAAUAUUUCCACUGGUUUUUGAACAUAGGGAAUAUAAUUUAAUAACUGUUUUAAUGUCCUUAAUUGCCAAUUCUAACAGCUGUGUCAGUCCCAGGUUGUUUUGGUUAAUUGACUCUUUCUCCCCAUUGUGAUUCAUAUUUUCCUUCUUCUUUGAUGUCUGGUAAUUUGGCUUCAAUGCCAUAUACUUUGAAUUUUAUCUUUGGGUGGUUGGGUAUUUUUGUAUUACUGUAAAUAUUUUUGAGCUUUGUUCUGAUAUGUAGCUAAGUUACUUGGAAACAGUUUGAUCCUUUCAGUUCUUGAUUUUAAAAUGUCUUAGGACUAGAGCAGCAUUUAGACUACAGCUGAUUUUAUUCCAAAAAUGAGUUGAAACACUUUUCCAGUGCCCUGUGAGUUUUGAUGUUUUUCACUUUGGCUGGCCAUGUGGGAACAUCACCUGUUGUUUCCUCUGCUCCUUUUGGGUGGUUCUUUCUUUGGUCUUCACAGUUUGCUCAAUAUAAGUGUUGAUCAGUAU
Molecule: long non-coding RNA, 2488 nt
Filed under: Equus caballus (horse)
Lineage: Eukaryota; Metazoa; Chordata; Mammalia; Perissodactyla; Equidae
Description: lncRNA (ENSECAG00000056973.1)
Source: RNAcentral